ACCUGGGUGGCUCAGUCAGUUGAGCGUCUGACUUCGGCUCAGGUCAUGAUCUCACGGUUUGUGGGUUCGAGCCCUGCAUCAGGGU
RNAcentral lists this transfer RNA (85 nucleotides) under Felis catus (domestic cat). It matches the Rfam family "tRNA". From Rfam's summary of the family: Transfer RNA (tRNA) molecules are approximately 80 nucleotides in length. Their secondary structure includes four short double-helical elements and three loops (D, anti-codon, and T loops). Further hydrogen bonds mediate the characteristic L-shaped molecular structure. tRNAs have two regions of fundamental functional importance: the anti-codon, which is responsible for specific mRNA codon recognition, and the 3' end, to which the tRNAs corresponding amino acid is attached (by aminoacyl-tRNA synthetases). tRNAs cope with the degeneracy of the genetic code in two manners: having more than one tRNA (with a specific anti-codon) for a particular amino acid; and 'wobble' base-pairing, i.e. permitting non-standard base-pairing at the 3rd anti-codon position. Lineage: Eukaryota; Metazoa; Chordata; Mammalia; Carnivora; Felidae. The record is from Rfam by way of RNAcentral.